RNAcentral lists this transfer RNA (64 nucleotides) under Dypsocus coleoptratus. Its description in RNAcentral is "tRNA-Leu". It matches the Rfam family "tRNA". From Rfam's summary of the family: Transfer RNA (tRNA) molecules are approximately 80 nucleotides in length. Their secondary structure includes four short double-helical elements and three loops (D, anti-codon, and T loops). Further hydrogen bonds mediate the characteristic L-shaped molecular structure. tRNAs have two regions of fundamental functional importance: the anti-codon, which is responsible for specific mRNA codon recognition, and the 3' end, to which the tRNAs corresponding amino acid is attached (by aminoacyl-tRNA synthetases). tRNAs cope with the degeneracy of the genetic code in two manners: having more than one tRNA (with a specific anti-codon) for a particular amino acid; and 'wobble' base-pairing, i.e. permitting non-standard base-pairing at the 3rd anti-codon position. Lineage: Eukaryota; Metazoa; Arthropoda; Insecta; Psocodea; Caeciliusidae. The record is from RNAcentral.
UCUAAUAUGGCAGAAUAGUGCAUUGAAUUUAAGCUUCAAAUAUAAAAUUAAAUUUUUGUUAGAA